Molecule: non-coding RNA, 865 nt
Organism: Equus caballus (horse)
Lineage: Eukaryota; Metazoa; Chordata; Mammalia; Perissodactyla; Equidae
Source: RefSeq, a predicted model, not a curated record
CCCGGCCGCGCAGGGGAGGGGGAGGGGAGCGGGAAGAGGAGGGGGCAGCCCUGACUCGCAGGCUGCCAAUUAACACUCUCCGGGUGGCGUCUUCGGAUGCGGGCAUCUUCCCUUGGCAAUCUUGCAGAGACUGGACACCAACGUGACCAGCUCCUUGCCAUCACUCUACAGAAGGGGAAACUGAGGCUCAGAAGCCUUCAGCGGAGAAGCACAGCUCCACUCGCUGGUCUAGUCCCAUCUGCCUUCACACCCGUGAGAACCCCUUCCCUUCCAGCCCCUGAGGCAGCCCUCUGCUGCUGACCCACUCCUACUCUCCCCCAGGACUCCAGACCCACUCACUUCCAACCAGAGCUUUAGUGGCCCUGGGACCCCUGCCCAGGCACCUUGUACUGGGAAUCAGAGGACCCAAGUUCAACCCUGGUUGAACUUCAGUCCCAGAGUCAAGAGGCAACUCUCUGGGCCCCAGUUGCUCCAAGCUCUAGAAUGGGGAGCUGUUCUGAGACUGCAGAGAUGAUACUUGUGAAGGCUCUGUGUGAACUCCCAUGGUGGGGGGAGGGGGGGUCCUGAAUUUUUGACUUCCUUCUUAGUCCUUAGCUUCUACCACCUGCGAGCUGGACAGGAGCACUUCCCAAAGUCAUGCCAGACACCAAGAGCCCCACAUUUAGUUCUGGGGUUCUCAUGGACCCCUGCUUUCUCCUGCCCUCUUGGCCUACUAUGGGAAGGGUCCUGGAGCUGGGGAAGCCUCCCAAAGCUGGGACUGGAUUCCAUUCUUCACCUACACAGUCUUCUAUUGAGCGCCUCUUGAAGGCCAGGUGCUGCGAGACAGUAGAAGACCAGGUCCUUCCUCACGUUCUUGGGGAUGGAG